Molecule: transfer RNA, 92 nt
Filed under: [Clostridium] methylpentosum
Lineage: Bacteria; Bacillati; Bacillota; Clostridia; Eubacteriales; Oscillospiraceae
Also listed under: 3 other names
Description: tRNA-Ser
Rfam family: tRNA
About the family: Transfer RNA (tRNA) molecules are approximately 80 nucleotides in length. Their secondary structure includes four short double-helical elements and three loops (D, anti-codon, and T loops). Further hydrogen bonds mediate the characteristic L-shaped molecular structure. tRNAs have two regions of fundamental functional importance: the anti-codon, which is responsible for specific mRNA codon recognition, and the 3' end, to which the tRNAs corresponding amino acid is attached (by aminoacyl-tRNA synthetases). tRNAs cope with the degeneracy of the genetic code in two manners: having more than one tRNA (with a specific anti-codon) for a particular amino acid; and 'wobble' base-pairing, i.e. permitting non-standard base-pairing at the 3rd anti-codon position.
Source: RNAcentral
GGAGAGAUGGCUGAGCUGGUCUAAGGCGCACGACUGGAAAUCGUGUGAACCCCUUAAAGGUUCCGAGGGUUCGAAUCCCUCUCUCUCCGCCA